UACGAAGGGGGCGAGCGUUGUUCGGAUUUACUGGGCGUAAAGGGCGCGCAGGCGGUUCUGUUUGUCGUGUGUGAAAGCCCCGGGCUCAACCUGGGAACUGCGCUCGAAACGGCGGAACUAGAGUUCGGGAGAGGAGAGUGGAAUUCCCAGUGUAGAGGUGAAAUGCGUAGAUAUCGGAAGGAACACCUGUGGCGAAAGCGGCUCACUGGACCAUAACUGACGCUGAGGCGCGAAAGCUAGGGGAGCAAACAGG
This 253-nucleotide ribosomal RNA is filed under the name uncultured bacterium. RNAcentral's name for it is "partial 16S ribosomal RNA". It matches the Rfam family "Bacterial small subunit ribosomal RNA", at positions 524 to 776 of the family's 1533-position model. The record is from RNAcentral.